CAAUAGCGUAUAUUAAAGUUGUUGCAGUUAAAAAGCUCGUAGUUGGAUUUCUGGUGGGAGCACGGGUCGGCCCUCACGGGUUGUACUGUUGUUGCGUCCUGCCGUUUCGGAGGGAAUGGCCUCGCUAUUAAGUUAGCGUGGUCGGGAACUCUGUCGUUUACUGUGAAAAAAUUAGAGUUGUUCAAAAGCAGGCCUUCGCUGUGAAUACAUUAGCAUGGAAUAAUAAGAUAGGACUGUAGUGCUAUUUUGUUGGUUUGCGUUACUAUGGUAAUGAUUAAUAGGGAUAGUUGGGGGUAUUCAUAUUUCGAAUUGUCAGAGGUGAAAUUCUUGGAUUUAUGGAAGAUGAACUACUGCGAAAGCAUUUACCAAGGAUGUUUUCAUUAA
RNAcentral lists this ribosomal RNA (384 nucleotides) under uncultured eukaryote. Its description in RNAcentral is "SSU rRNA". It matches the Rfam family "Eukaryotic small subunit ribosomal RNA", at positions 592 to 976 of the family's 1831-position model. The record is from RNAcentral.